Molecule: small RNA, 68 nt
Filed under: Chryseobacterium sp. Leaf180
Lineage: Bacteria; Pseudomonadati; Bacteroidota; Flavobacteriia; Flavobacteriales; Weeksellaceae
Description: Flavo-1 RNA
Rfam family: Flavo-1 RNA
Source: Rfam by way of RNAcentral
CCCUAGCCCCGAUUGAAACGAAAAUCCUUUUUUGAAAAAAAAGAUCGAAGUGGAAAGCGGGAAUAAGC